GCUGGGCAUGGUGGCUCAUAUCUGUAAUCCCAGCACUUUGGGAAGCUGAGGUGGGAGGAUCACUUGAGCCCAGGAGUUCGAGACCAGCCUGGGCAACAUAGUGAGACCCCAUCUCUA
Molecule: non-coding RNA, 117 nt
Filed under: Gorilla gorilla gorilla (western lowland gorilla)
Lineage: Eukaryota; Metazoa; Chordata; Mammalia; Primates; Hominidae
Source: Rfam by way of RNAcentral